This 275-nucleotide ribosomal RNA is filed under the name uncultured prokaryote. RNAcentral's name for it is "partial 16S ribosomal RNA". It matches the Rfam family "Bacterial small subunit ribosomal RNA", at positions 524 to 798 of the family's 1533-position model. The record is from RNAcentral.
UACGGAGGAUCCGAGCGUUAUCCGGAUUUAUUGGGUUUAAAGGGUGCGCAGGCGGGAAAUUAAGUCGGCGGUGAAAUUUUGCGGCUCAACCGUAAAAGUGCCUUCGAUACUGGUGGUCUUGAGUGUGGAUGAGGUAGGCGGAAUUUGUGGUGUAGCGGUGAAAUGCAUAGAUAUCACGAGGAACUCCGAUUGCUAAGGCAGCUUACUAAGCCAUAACUGACGCUCAAGCACGAAGGCGUGGGGAUCAAACAGGAUUAGAUACCCCGGUAGUCCCU